GAUGAACGCUGGCGGCGUGCCUAAUACAUGCAAGUCGAGCGAACGGACGAGAAGCUUGCUUCUCUGAUGUUAGCGGCGGACGGGUGAGUAACACGUGGAUAACCUACCUAUAAGACUGGGAUAACUUCGGGAAACCGGAGCUAAUACCGGAUAAUAUUUUGAACCGCAUGGUUCAAAAGUGAAAGACGGUCUUGCUGUCACUUAUAGAUGGAUCCGCGCUGCAUUAGCUAGUUGGUAAGGUAACGGCUUACCAAGGCAACGAUGCAUAGCCGACCUGAGAGGGUGAUAGGCCAAACUGGAACUGAGACACGGUCCAGACUACUACGGGAGGCAGCAGUAGGGAAUCUUCCGCAAUGGGCGAAAGCCUGACGGAGCAACGCCGCGUGAGUGAUGAAGGUCUUCGGAUCGUAAAACUCUGUUAUUAGGGAAGAACAUAUGUGUAAGUAACUGUGCACAUCUUGACGGUACCUAAUCAGAAAGCCACGGCUAACUACGUG
This 497-nucleotide ribosomal RNA is filed under the name uncultured bacterium. RNAcentral describes it as "partial 16S ribosomal RNA". It matches the Rfam family "Bacterial small subunit ribosomal RNA", at positions 28 to 507 of the family's 1533-position model. The record is from RNAcentral.